This 492-nucleotide ribosomal RNA is filed under the name uncultured bacterium. Its description in RNAcentral is "partial 16S ribosomal RNA". It matches the Rfam family "Bacterial small subunit ribosomal RNA", at positions 28 to 507 of the family's 1533-position model. The record is from RNAcentral.
GAUGAACGCUAGCUACAGGCUUAACACAUGCAAGUCGAGGGGAAACGACAUCGAAAGCUUGCUUUUGAUGGGCGUCGACCGGCGCACGGGUGAGUAACGCGUAUCCAACCUGCCCAUCACUUGGGAAUAACCUUGCGAAAGUAAGACUAAUACCCAAUGAUAUCCCACGAAGGCAUCGGAAUGGGAUUAAAGAUUUAUCGGUGAUGGAUGGGGAUGCGUCUGAUUAGCUUGUUGGCGGGGUAACGGCCCACCAAGGCAACGAUCAGUAGGGGUUCUGAGAGGAAGGUCCCCCACAUUGGAACUGAGACACGGGCCAAACUCCUACGGGAGGCAGCAGUGAGGAAUAUUGGUCAAUGGGCGAGAGCCUGAACCAGCCAAGUAGCGUGCAGGAAGACGGCCCUAUGGGUUGUAAACUGCUUUUAUAAGGGAAUAAAGUGGGUCACGUGUGACUUUUUGCAUGUACCUUAUGAAUAAGGACCGGCUAAUUCCGUG